Molecule: ribosomal RNA, 327 nt
Filed under: uncultured bacterium
Lineage: Bacteria
Description: bacterial SSU rRNA
Rfam family: Bacterial small subunit ribosomal RNA
Source: RNAcentral
GACGAACGCUGGCGGCGCGCCUAACACAUGCAAGUCGAACGGAGCUAUUUUGGUGAAGUCCUUCGGGAUGGAACUGGCUUAGCUUAGUGGCGGACGGGUGAGUAACACGUGAGCAACCUGCCUCUCAGAGGGGGAUAACGUUUGGAAACGAACGCUAAUACCGCAUAACAUAACAGAAUCGCAUGGUUUUGUUAUCAAAGGAGCAAUCCGCUGAGAGAUGGGCUCGCGUCCGAUUAGAUAGUUGGUGAGGUAACGGCCCACCAAGUCGACGAUCGGUAGCCGGACUGAGAGGUUGAUCGGCCACAUUGGGACUGAGACACGGCCCAG